CCUACGGGUGGCAGCAGUGAGGAAUAUUGGUCAAUGGGCGGAAGCCUGAACCAGCCAAGUAGCGUGCGGGAUGAAGGCCCUACGGGUCGUAAACCGCUUUUGCACGGGGAUAACACCCUCCACUUGUGGAGGUCUGCAGGUACCGUGCGAAUAAGGGCCGGCUAAUUCCGUGCCAGCAGCCGCGGUAAUACGGAAGGCCCGAGCGUUAUCCGGAUUCAUUGGGCUUAAAGGGAGCGUAGGCGGGCGUUCAAGUCAGCUGUAAAAUCGCGCGGCUCAACCGCGCCCCGCAGUUGAAACUGGCAGUCUGGAGUACAGUAGAGGUGGGCGGAAUUCGUGGUGUAGCGGUGAAAUGCUUAGAUAUCACGAAGAACUCCGAUUGCGAAGGCAGCUCACUGGACUGCAACUGACACUGAGGCUCGAAAGUGUGGGUAUCAAACAGGAUUAGAUACCCCAGUAGUC
Molecule: ribosomal RNA, 459 nt
Filed under: uncultured bacterium
Lineage: Bacteria
Description: partial 16S ribosomal RNA
Rfam family: Bacterial small subunit ribosomal RNA
Source: RNAcentral